UACGUAGGAGGCGAGCGUUGUCCGGAGUUACUGGGCGUAAAGCGCGCGCAGGCGGCCCUGUGCGCUGCCGGUGAAAGCUCCCGGCUUACCUGGGAGAGGUUCGGCAGGACGGCAGGGCUGGAGGGUGGGAGAGGUCGGUGGAAUUCCCGGUGUAGUGGUGAAAUGCGUAGAGAUCGGGAGGAACACCCGUAGCGAAGGCGGCCGACUGGACCACACCUGACGCUGAGGCGCGAAGGCCAGGGGAGCGAACGGG
Molecule: ribosomal RNA, 253 nt
Filed under: uncultured bacterium
Lineage: Bacteria
Description: partial 16S ribosomal RNA
Rfam family: Bacterial small subunit ribosomal RNA
Source: RNAcentral